ACUCCUACGGGAGGCAGCAGUGGGGAAUAUUGCACAAUGGGGGAAACCCUGAUGCAGCCAUGCCGCGUGUGUGAAGAAGGCCUUGGGUUGUAAAGCACUUUCAGUAGGGAGGAAGGUAGUGUAGUUAACACCUGCAUUAUUUGACGUUACCUACAGAAGAAGCACCGGCUAACUCCGUGCCAGCAGCCGCGGUAAUACGGAGGGUGCGAGCGUUAAUCGGAAUUACUGGGCGUAAAGCGCAUGCAGGCGGCCUGUUAAGUCAGAUGUGAAAGCCCGGGGCUUAACCUCGGAAUUGCAUUUGAAACUGGCAGGCUAGAGUCUUGUAGAGGGGUUAGAAUUUCAGGUGUAGCGGUGAAAUGCGUAGAGAUCUGAAGGAAUACCAGUGGCGAAGGCGGCCCCCUGGACAAAGACUGACGCUCAGAUGCGAAAGCGUGGGAGCAAACAGGAUUAGAUA
RNAcentral lists this ribosomal RNA (454 nucleotides) under uncultured bacterium. RNAcentral describes it as "bacterial SSU rRNA". It matches the Rfam family "Bacterial small subunit ribosomal RNA", at positions 335 to 784 of the family's 1533-position model. The record is from RNAcentral.